CAGAGAUUUAAAAGAUAUUUUUUAAUAGUGCACUGAAGUAUGAAAACAAGAGUUGCAAAAUAAGACUAUUCAAGAGCUUAGGUUGGUAUAAGGAAGGUUAGCCUUCAUUUAGGUUGUAUAACAUCCUUAGCAUCAAAGACACCUUAAAGACAGAAAAUGCUCAGACAGUAAAGACAAAACAAAGAACCUGAGAAAGAAAAUCAGCACAUCCAUGACUCCACGAGCACCAUAAUAAAAGACAGAAAUAAUCAACACUUUUCAGGAACCAUCAACUCUCAGUGUUCAAACCUGAAGUCGUGGCUGAAAGGUGGGACUGACUGAUUGGCAAAAGACACAGAAAGUGCAAUAAUUUUUCUGUCACUUAAAGUGCUCAACUCGUUAAUUCACCCUCACAGAACGGCUAUUACCUCCUCCACUCGAAAUGCUCAGUCAAAGCCGAGUGCAGGAAAAAAACACCAUGAAGAUGCACAUAUUUAAAAGGAUGAGGGGAACAACAUCAGCAGCUCACCUCCAUCUGUAGUGCUGACAUGACCAACACUGAAGCUGAUGACAGAACAACAAGGCUUCUUCUCGUCACAUAAAAUCACAAGCACAGUAAAUAUUUCUUCUUUACUUAAGACGUAAAAUAAAAUCACACACAGUCCAGUUCAGGCGGUGAAAUCUCAGCGAGUUUUGGCUGCAGAGCGAAAGCUUCCUGUGGCGGCAGUCGUUCCAGAAGACACGGAUAUAAAAUAUGAAUCUUUAGUGGUCAUUUGAAGGUCAAAAAUAAAACUGUUCCAUGUUCAUGUUUCACUGUGUACACUAUUUACAAACCUUUUUAACAAAGGAAACUGCAGACGACUGUUUUUAUUGCACGAAGGCGAUCAUAAAGUUCGGCGACUCCAGUCUGGUUUGAUUUCGGUUGAUCUCCCCUUCAAGGUCAUUUCCUCAGGAAACACUGGACUUCUUUUAACACAGCUAAAAUCCCAGAACACUCCUUUAAAAUCCAACUCUGACUGCAUAUUUUCACUUCUUUGUGUCCAUUAGUGUGCCUGCGUGUUCCAGGGUGCCAAACCUGGACAGUAGGUGGCACUGCGAGAGAAGAUUGUGCUCUGAAAUAACCUGAGUGUCACUGUGAACACCUCCAGCUUCCAAAAAAAAAAAAAAAAAAAACUCCAACAGAAGAACUUGGAGCUGAAGAAAAAUAAGUAAAGACAAAAGUGCCAAAUGCUGCAGUUCCUUCAUUGUCCACUGGAGGCUUUCUCCAGCAGUGAGUGAGUCCUCAUAGACUCCCAUGCAGCAGAAAUAAGCACGAUUACAGCCUGCUACAAAAACAGUUUUGGUCACUAUGUGACUGCUGAGAUUUAAAAUUGGGCUGUGGCAGCUCGACUGUCUGCCAAGCUUCACCUCAGGUCACUGGAGGCCCUGGACUCAACCUCCAAACCUUUCUUGUGCUGUUUGAGGCUUCUGGAGCAUUUUUAAUGCAGUUAUCUCACUAAUUAUAAGGCUUUCUGAGAGUUGCAGUCUGUCCAAGAAGUUAAUGCUUCAGUUUUGUUGAGUGAAGUUCUAGUAUAACCGAGAAAGCUUUGGCUUUCAAUUCCUCCAGUUUUUCCGCAGCGUGUUUCAGAAGACUCAGAUAAGUUCCUGUUCUGUACUGCUCAAAGUCACGGCGAGCUUAUGAGGAGGGAAGGAAGUCAGACACAAGAACAGGUUGAAUUUAAAAAUAAAAGACUCUGUAGAGGUUAAACGCUCCCAGUGUGACUUGAAGCCGUGCAAAGGACGGAAGAAAACCGUGUCAUGGACACGUAUCCGACAGAUUCCUUGGUUAAGGCUUCAAAAUGGGUGACAUCACAGUGGCUACGUUGAUGAAUUCCUUGUGUGCAACCCUGUAGAUGCAACUCCGUGCCCUACCUGGGACAAUGUGAUCUAACAACGCUGUAAUUGUCCCAAAAUCAGAUGCAAACAAUCAAAACAGGAGAAACUUCCAAGGAGUUGGGUUGCUGGAAGAGGUCCAGAGGUUCACUCAGAGACGACCUUAAAGGGGAGAUGAGCUCAAUCUAAACUUGACGUAGGUUUUUACUUUUAGGAGCAGAACUUUUUUUUGAAGGCUUUCUAACCCGUUUGGAGCUCGUGUUCAGGAUCCAGCACUGAGGAAACAGGACGUGGUGCUGUCCUGUUCGGCUGUAGUGUUAUCAGUCUAGUGUUUGAGAAGUGGGCACACAGAGGUCGCUCUGACUACCCGAGCUCCCCGGCUGGUUACCAGGAGCUCAUCCGUGUCCAGCAUUUCCAGUUCUGCCAGAUUUCUGGUCAUGAAAACAACUCAACAACACAAAGUUAUGCGUCACAGGAACCGUUUGGAAAUAAUAACAUAACGCCUUCUGUGUCCAAUAGAUUGUCAUUUGUUAAGAUCCUUCAGUAGACCAAAAGGAAGUCUUCUCCAAUAUUAAUGGUUUAAUUUGGCAAAAUCACUGAUAAUUAAGUCCUGCACCUUGAGUGCCGUACCGUUUCUUUCUUUUAGACACAGAAAAUAAGCGAAAUGAGGAAAUCUUUAGUCUGUAGUGUUGGAUGGAAGUGUAACGAUAAAAACAAGCUUCCAGAACUGAAUCUGAACACUGUAGAAAAUAAAUAAGGUGUAAUGGGAGGCACUGGGGUACGUUCAACGUCUCUGAAAGCUUCCCGAUUGUCAGCUCAGCCAGAUCCACGAUGGCCGCCCUG
This is a long non-coding RNA of Oreochromis aureus, 2694 nucleotides long. NCBI's taxonomy places the organism in Eukaryota, Metazoa, Chordata, Actinopteri, Cichliformes, Cichlidae. The record is from Ensembl.